UAGGUCUACGGGAGGCAGCAGUGGGGGAUAUUGGACAAUGGGGGGAACCCUGAUCCAGCGACGCCGCGUGAGUGAAGAAGUAUUUCGGUAUGUAAAGCUCUGUCAGCAGGGAAGAAAGCAAUGACGGUACCUGACCAAGAAGCCCCGGCUAACUACGUGCCAGCAGCCGCGGUAAUACGUAGGGGGCAAGCGUUAUCCGGAUUUACUGGGUGUAAAGGGAGCGUAGACGGCGAAGAAAGUCUGAAGUGAAAGCCCGCGGCUUAACCGCGGAACUGCUUUGGAAACUUUUUUGCUGGAGUACCGGA
This 305-nucleotide ribosomal RNA is filed under the name uncultured bacterium. Its description in RNAcentral is "bacterial SSU rRNA". It matches the Rfam family "Bacterial small subunit ribosomal RNA", at positions 334 to 653 of the family's 1533-position model. The record is from RNAcentral.